AUGGUGGCCAGACAUAGUUGGAGCAGCAGAGUUCACCAGGAUACAAAUCUAGGGGAAGGAUACAGUGUCAAGAAGAUCAAAUGCAAGCCUGAUAUAUCACCAAGAUUACAUCAAUACAGACAUUUUCAAAUAGGAAUUUCAAAUCAGGCUGGUAAUCAUGAUUUUGAACAAUUUUCUUUUAAAAAUGAUUUUCUAAUAUCUUCCAAAGGGAAUAUUUGCAAUAAAACAGGAGAGCAUGCCUACAACCAACAACCAACUAAUGUUUGGAUUAUUUUUGUGUGUGUCAGGAGCAACUUGAAUAACUGCAUGUCACUUCUGGUGUGAGAGAAUUGGCCAUCUGCAAGGACAUUGCCCAGGGGACUCCUGGAUGUUUGAUGUUUUACCAUCCCAUGGGAGGCUUCUCUCGUGUCCCUGCUUGGGAAGCUAGAGCUGACAGAUGGGAGCUCACUCUGCUCCCCGGAUUGGAACCACUGACCUUUUGGUCAGCAGUCCUGCUAGCACAUGGGUGUAGCCCAUUCUGCCAUCAGAGACUCGAUGUUUGAACUGAACCCAAUGUAGAUAAAAACAUGUUUUUGUCUAACUCCUGAGGAAAAUAUGGUGAAAUAAAAUAUAGUGGAGUAUUAUGUGAACUAUCCUCACUGGAAAACUUGUAAAACCAUGUUAGCAUUCCAGGAAACUAUCAGGUUAAAAGUCUGGAGCCAAUGAAGUUUUGGGUCCCAUAUCGGGAGAAAGGUGGAAUAUAAAGUAAGGAAGUAAAUAGCAGCUAAAGUGCAGAACUAAAUAAAUUCAACUUCUGUCAAUCCCAAGCCAUGAAAUUUAGUAAGUGGCCUUGGGUCAAUUAUGUUCUUCCUCAGAUGGAUGGAUGCAGGAUCAGAGAAAAGUAAAAAUGGGGAUGAAGAAAGCCAUGUAUGCUGCUGAAGGAAAGAUGUGAUAUAAAUGGAUCAAACCAAUCCUUUUUUUCCUUUCAGAUGAAUUCAGCAUUGGCAGUUCUACCAUUAUUGAACAUAGUUUCCCAGAUAACAUGGAAUCAUGUGGUAUUUGACAGGCAUGUUCCUGCCAUUCUUCUUACAUAUGGUGUCUACAACGUGAUGUGUUGCUAAGUGCCUUUUGUCCUGAGAAAAUCAGCCUCUUAUCAAAAUAUUGCUGUCU
This 1149-nucleotide long non-coding RNA is filed under the name Anolis carolinensis (green anole). RNAcentral describes it as "lncRNA (ENSACAG00000035278.1)". The record is from RNAcentral. Lineage: Eukaryota; Metazoa; Chordata; Lepidosauria; Squamata; Anolidae.